GACGAACGCUGGCGGCGUGCUUAACACAUGCAAGUCGAACGGUGAUGCUCCAGCUUGCUGGAGUGGAUCAGUGGCGAACGGGUGAGUAACACGUGAGCAACCUGCCCCAGACUCUGGAAUAAGCGCUGGAAACGGCGUCUAAUACUGGAUACGAAACUGGCCCGCAUGGGCAUGGUUUGGAAAGUUUUUCGGUUUGGGAUGGGCUCGCGGCCUAUCAGCUUGUUGGUGAGGUAAUGGCUCACCAAGGCGACGACGGGUAGCCGGCCUGAGAGGGCGACCGGCCACACUGGGACUGAGACACGGCCCAGACUCCUACGGGAGGCAGCAGUGGGGAAUAUUGCACAAUGGGCGAAAGCCUGAUGCAGCGACGCCGCGUGAGGGAUGACGGCCUUCGGGUUGUAAACCUCUUUCAGCAGGGAAGAAGCGAAAGUGACGGUACCUGCAGAAGAAGCACCGGCCAACUACGUG
This 468-nucleotide ribosomal RNA is filed under the name uncultured bacterium. RNAcentral's name for it is "partial 16S ribosomal RNA". It matches the Rfam family "Bacterial small subunit ribosomal RNA", at positions 28 to 507 of the family's 1533-position model. The record is from RNAcentral.